GCAUGUGUAUCAUUCCCCUAUGGUUUAUAACCCCUGAGUCUGGGGGUAAUGGCACGGGGACCCACCAGCUUGUCUGCCGCCAUCUGGGAGUCUUUUCUAAGGCACCAACUACUUCCUUCAAGCAGCAGCCAGAGAUCUUUGCUUAAUGGCUGAGAAACACAGAGGAGAGACCCAGAGAGAAGGAGAAGGCCGCAUGAAGAUGGAGCAGAGACUGGAGUUAUUCAGCCAAGUCAAGGAAUGCCUGGAGCACCAGAAGCCGGAAGAGGCAAGGAAGGAUCCUCCCUUAGAGCAUUUGGAAGAGUGUGGCCCUGCCAACACCUUGACUUCAAACUUCUGGCCUCCAUAACUAUGAAAU
This 355-nucleotide long non-coding RNA is filed under the name Homo sapiens (human). RNAcentral's name for it is "HSALNT0292961". The record is from RNAcentral. Lineage: Eukaryota; Metazoa; Chordata; Mammalia; Primates; Hominidae.